GUUGAAGGUUUGUAUGCCCAACUGAGCCUACAACCGAAAGCAGUGAGCUGGACGGACACUCUUGGUGUGGGAUGGGUUUGGAGGGUGAGUGCUACCUGCCUGAGUACCACACCGCUUCCUUUAGGACACCAGGAGACUUGCUGGAGCUCGCCCAUCUGACCCAGUCCUCCACAUGAGAUCUGGCAAGAUAAUCACUCCAAGCGUCUGGGGAGCAUCACUAGAAGAAAGUUCAGUGUGAUGAAAAAAAGAGAUAAAAAGAGAGUGUGAUGCAGCAGAAAGAACUCCUUGCUUUCUCCACUGCUCCUGAGGAACCAGUGGCAGAUGAUGGAGACAGAGCGGCUCACUGCUCUCAUGGCUGGAGAAGUGGUAGGAAGCUCUUGGCACCAUAACAUCUGAGUUAAUGUACUCUGCUCUGCCCGUUGUGCCUCCUUGCUCCCAGCAUGGGCAUGGGCUCCUGUUAUGCAGCAUGCCACAUUUUUUUCCUGCGGAAGACGCAAAGACGAGAUGAGAGGAUGUGUUCCGCAGCAGAAGAGAAAGUCUCUGGCCAGCACACUUGCACUUUGGCCAGGCUGGCUUACCCAAGCAGUGAUUUUGGUCAACACACAACUCCUGUCCUGAUGUUGCCAUCACAGAGGAAAAUGUCCAGUUAUGCAGCCUCUGGACUAAACAGCCACCAGCCCAAUGGAGA
This is a long non-coding RNA of Lagopus muta (rock ptarmigan), 688 nucleotides long. RefSeq lists it as uncharacterized. Lineage: Eukaryota; Metazoa; Chordata; Aves; Galliformes; Phasianidae. The transcript has 5 exons. The record is from RefSeq and is a predicted model, not a curated record.